ACUGACGGCAGCUAACCCAUGCAGUCGACGUAACAGACUAGCCUGCUAGUGCUGACGAUGGCGAACGGUGAGUAUACUAGGGAUCUGCCUCUUGUGGGGGAUACUAUUGGAACGAUAGCUAUAUCCGCAUACGUUUUACCGACCAAGAGGCUUCGGCUCUCGGGCAGAGAGGAACCUAAGCGAGAUUAGCUUGUUGGGGAGGUAAGGCUCACCAAGGCGACGAUCUUCUAGCUGUUCUGAGAGGAAGAUCAGCCACACUGGAACUGAGACACGGUCCAGACUCCUACGGGAGGCAGCAGUGGGGAAUAUUGCACAAUGGGGGCAACCCUGAUGCAGCCAUGCCGCGUGUGUGAAGAAGGCCUUCGGGUUGUAAAGCACUUUCAGUUGUGAGGAAAGGUUAGUAGUUAAUACCUGCUAGCUGUGACGUUAACAACAGAAGAAGCACCGGCUAACUCCGUGCCAGCAGCCGCGGUAAUACGGAGGGUGCGAGCAGUUAAUCGGRAUUACUGGGCGUAAAGCGCACGCAGGCGCGCUCUGUUAAGCUAGAUGUGAAAGCCCCGCCGCUAUCAAGCGUGGGAGGGUCAUUUAGAACUGGCAGACUAGAGUCUUGGAGAGGGGAGUGGAAUUCCAGGUGUAGCGGUGAAAUGCGUAGAGAUCUGGAGGAACAUCAAUGGCGAAGGCAACUCCCUGGCCAAAGACUGACGCUCAUGUGCGAAAGUGUGGGUAGCGAACAGGAUUAGAUACCCUGGUAGUCCACACCGUAAACGCUGUCUACUAGCUGUUUGUGGAUUUAAUCCGUGAGUAGCGAAGCUAACGCGAUAAGUAGACCGCCUGGGGAGUACGGCCGCAAGGUUAAAACUCAAAUGAAUUGACGGGGGCCCGCACAAGCGGUGGAGCAUGUGGUUUAAUUCGAUGCAACKCKWAGAACCUUACCUACUCUUGACAUACUAGGAAACUUUUCAGAGAUGAAUUGGUGCCUGUCGGGAWUCUAGGAUACAGGUGCUGCAUGGCUGUCGUCAGCUCGUGUCGUGAGAUGUUGGGUUAAGUCCCGCAACGAGCGCAACCCUUGUCCUUAGUUACCAGCAUUAAGUUGGGUACUUUAAAGGAGACUGCCGGGUGACAAACCGGAGGAAGGUGGGGACGACGUCAAGUCAUCAUGGCCCUUACGAGUAGGGCUACACACGUGCUACAUGGGCGAGUACAAAGGGAUGCAAACUGGGUGACAGUAAGCGGACCUCUUUAAAGCUCGUCGUAAUUCCGGAUUGGAGUCUGCAACUCCGACCUCAUUCGAUUCGGAAACUCCCUAGGAAUCGUAGGGUCAGCCAUAUCUACCGGUGAAAUACUUUUCCGGGCCCUUGUACACACCGGCCGGUCCACCCUAGGAGUGGGGAGUGCAAAAGGAGAGGGGACUUAACUUUCGGGAUGGCGCUUACCUUUUGGGUUUUCAGAGAUGGGGGUAACGCUUAAAAGGAUCCCCUUAUUCCACUUGAGUUUCUCGC
This 1499-nucleotide ribosomal RNA is filed under the name uncultured Glaciecola sp. RNAcentral describes it as "bacterial SSU rRNA". It matches the Rfam family "Bacterial small subunit ribosomal RNA". Lineage: Bacteria; Pseudomonadati; Pseudomonadota; Gammaproteobacteria; Alteromonadales; Alteromonadaceae. The record is from RNAcentral.